UUAUGAUGUCACUGAGAACUGCCAUCUCCUACCUGCUAAACAGCUUUCCUUACACUUACCAGAUUCGAGGGUGUCAUUUCCAGGAACCUUAUCAAGUAGUGAAGUCCAGAUGAUUCUGAGAAGAUCGCAGCGCAUGAUUCCCAUGUGUGGAAGGCUCAGAUCAAGGCUAUUUCUUCAGAGAAACCACUCAAUCCCUAUUCAAGACUCACUGAACUUUCCCAUGGACCAGAUUUGAGGGUGCCCUUUCCAAGAGUGUCUCCUGUGACAUACUGGAAAACUUUACAUACUAUAUAUCUCUAAAGCUAGAGACUUCUCUUUGCUUCAUUAGUACUUGCAUGCUCGGAAUAGAGAAUGUUGGUCGGGGCUUGGCAUUGGUAAAAAAGAUCUAGGAACAUGGUGUGGAGGAGAUUAUUCAGGAUAAUAAUUCCACUUCCACGUCCAUUCCUGUGACAUACAGUUCAAGCUCCUAGGUUUUUUCUGUUUCCCAAAGUCCAAUAUAUUCCCUCCAGACGUUUAAUUGAAUGUAUAUUGUAUUACAUUUUCUUAUUGUACAUUCUUUGAAAGAGGACUUUAUAUAUAUUCCUGAAUGUGUACUCAAAAA
Non-coding RNA from Rattus norvegicus (Norway rat), 601 nucleotides. Lineage: Eukaryota; Metazoa; Chordata; Mammalia; Rodentia; Muridae. The record is from RefSeq and is a predicted model, not a curated record.